RNAcentral lists this ribosomal RNA (253 nucleotides) under uncultured bacterium. RNAcentral's name for it is "partial 16S ribosomal RNA". It matches the Rfam family "Bacterial small subunit ribosomal RNA", at positions 524 to 776 of the family's 1533-position model. The record is from RNAcentral.
UACAGAGGGUGCGAGCGUUGUCCGGAAUCAUUGGGCGUAAAGGGUGCGUAGGCGGCGCGGUAAGUCGGGUGUGAAAUCUCGGAGCUUAACUCCGAAACUGCAUUCGAUACUGCCGUGCUUGAGGACUGGAGAGGAGACUGGAAUUUACGGUGUAGCGGUGAAAUGCGUAGAUAUCGUAAGGAAGACCAGUGGCGAAGGCGGGUCUCUGGACAGUUCCUGACGCUGAGGCACGAAGGUCAGGGGAGCAAACGGG